RNAcentral lists this ribosomal RNA (495 nucleotides) under uncultured bacterium. Its description in RNAcentral is "partial 16S ribosomal RNA". It matches the Rfam family "Bacterial small subunit ribosomal RNA", at positions 28 to 506 of the family's 1533-position model. The record is from RNAcentral.
GAUGAACGCUGGCGGCGUGCCUAAUACAUGCAAGUCGAGCGAACAGACGAGGAGCUUGCUCCUCUGACGUUAGCGGCGGACGGGUGAGUAACACGUGGAUAACCUACCUAUAGACUGGGAUAACUUCGGGAAACCGGAGCUAAUACCGGAUAAUAUAUUGAACCGCAUGGUUCAAUAGUGAAAGACGGUUUUGCUGUCACUUAUAGAUGGAUCCGCGCCGCGUUAGCUAGUUGGUAAGGUAACGGCUUACCAAGGCAACGAUGCGUAGCCGACCUGAGAGGGUGAUCGGCCACACUGGAACUGAGACACGGUCCAGACUCCUACGGGAGGCAGCAGUAGGGAAUCUUCCGCAAUGGGCGAAAGCCUGACGGAGCAACGCCGCGUGAGUGAUGAAGGUCUUCGGAUCGUAAAACUCUGUUAUUAGGGAAGAACAAAUGUGUAAGUAACUAUGCACGUCUUGACGGUACCGAAUCAGAAAGCCACGGCUAACUACGU